UCAUUCAAAGCAGCGUCGGAGCUGCAUGCACGGGGCGUCCCUUACGAGGCUGGACUGUUUACUUACGCCCACGCCCACCCGAACGAACGAAUGAGAGAGAUAGAGCACUUAUUGUGCAGAUUCAGCCAAGUAAAAGCUUCUUCGAGUAAGAAGUAGAAGAAGAGGAGGAGAGGUGCUGCUACAUGAUGAAGCGCACUAUCGCAGAGAGAUGCAUCAACGCAUGCAUGCAUGAGAUUCCGAGACGGAUGCUCGCAUUUGAGUCGGUGUGGAGGGUUCUCGCUGUUAUCAGGAAGGAAGGAAGGAACAACACCUUGCUCCUCAUGAUUUUGUGUUUUUGCUUCCACUGAUAGCUUUCCAGUGGCGAAUUUUGCUGCUGGGUGAUCGUAAAACCAAUGUAUUGGACAGGAGUGUAGCUCAUAGGACUAACUGCAGCUCCUUUUUUAAGUCUCCUGAAGGCAAAGAGAACACGAGACAGGAAGGAUUCAACUUCACAAGCUUGCGGCGAUGGAGUGCGGAGCGAAUGUGAGAAGGAGCACAGAGCCACAUAAACAUGGCGCAACCGUAGAGAGGGAAAGGUAGAGGUCGCUGGAUGUGUGUUAGAUUUUCAAGUGCAGAUCAUGCGACGAGAAUUUGCGUCCCACGAGUUAGUCUCCCCGGAAUUGUGCUGGAUGGUGACGGAUUCACGAUGUGAUGAGAAAUUGCAGCAUCUCGAUCGGAACAAGAUUGAUGACGUGAUCGAUUGCGAACCAUGUGGCGAAUGUGCGGAAAUCGGUGCGCGGGGAAAUCUCGUCACUCGAUCGGACAGGACGUGAUAUCCCGAAAUGUAUGACAGCGCAGACCGAGAAGCCGCUGAUGUCUGCGGAACUCGAAACUAGUUUUAGCAAGUAGCGGAUGGAACCCUAAAACCUGCUUCACAUUCCUGGGCUGCUUCUUUAGAUAGACGUUAGAAUUAAGCCAAUUGUUCUGCAGAGUGUGCGUUAUCCACUCCCAUUCUGAUUCAGAACCUUGGCAUCCCCGAGCUUCGGAACGAGCUUCAGGGGUUGUCGUUGUCCCGCAUGCUAUUCCUGCCAGAAUCUCCUGGGUUCCUGCAGUCUCGUUAGAUUAAACAAAAUAUGUUUGGGUGUCGUUAAAUUUCCUUGUUGGUCGACUGCACAGAAUGGAGGAUUGUUCUUAGAAGAACUUGAUGGUCAUGUGAUAAAACUGGAAGCCAGUCAGUGAGGGAGUGCUAUGGGGACACUCUGUGGGGUGCAGCGAUCGUCUCUGCUGAAGCCAAGCUGCUCUCGACUGUAAUCUUGGUAAUCUAAUUGUAGUGCCGUUCAGAGCACUCUUGAUUUGCGGGAUCUUUUCUCGGGAGACAGAAGCCACAUUGGAGUGUGUGCGAAUCGACGCAUUGGCCAACUUUCCCGACGAUCAUGGUUGCCCAGCUUGGGAGAGCGUCGCGAAGUACGUUGAUUGGCAUCAUGUGAAGUUUAUUUUUCGGCUGAAAAGCAGCAAUGGUAGCACUGCAGGGGUUGGACAUUGGGCUACAUGACAAGGAACUUGAGUUACUGCAGUCACUUAACAGGAAUUUGCGUGAGUCCAGAUGGGAAAAAGCUGAGGAGUAGCAUGGGCAUUGUCCUUGCAACCGAAAGCCGCAUCGUCGGAGGCGGAGGUUGAGGCCGUGACACUGCCAGAGCUAGAUAUGAUGAGGUCUCCAAAAGGAGGGGAGAAGAGCUGAAUUAGGCUCACUUUCAUUUGGAGAGCGGUGAAUCUUUCCUCUGUAUUCGGUUGCAUUCACCCCUCUGACGGUUGGCACCUCCUCCGCCUAUAACUUCGAAGGAAUUUUCCCACUCCAGAGAGUAGUGCUACAGCGCUGCGCGCGCAUGUCCUGCCCUGGGGAUCGUAAGAGCUGCGCAUCAAGUUGGUGAAAUGCGAGUUGUUGAUCUCCUUUCUGUUGCCAUUCUCUGUGUCAUGUUUACCUGGUUUGACUCCCCUCCUACAUUGGUUAGCUUUGGAAUGUGGAUGAUAUGAGCGAAAUUACUAAAUUGACUUGGAAGUGGUAGAGUUUAAUAUAAAGGUGAAGAAGGGAAAAUGUCAAAUGAUCCCGAUUCGAGGUUGAACAUGAAGCAACUAUUGAAUCACCUGGCAUAUUUUGCAGCCUGUUGUUGCAUUGGCUCCAUCACAUUUUUGAAGCCCAGCAUGGUGGUUCCUUGGUGCAGUCGACACGACUUUUGCAGUGUCCUCUAUUUCGUCUUAGUUGAAAUGGCCUUGGGGAACCGCUAUGCUUCGUGGCAUUCGGUUCAUCAAGUGCUUUUCAUUUAUCCCUGCCAUGCCAGUGACGCUGACCCUGAUCGAAGGUAGCGUUGUGGUAGAGAUCACUACCUCACUCAUCCUCCUCUGCCAGCCACUUCCGUCAGGCAUUCUCGUUAUUGAAACUGCCAACCGGGAGACUGGUGUCGGAGUUCAAUGGCAAGAAUCACGCUAACAAAAGCCUGCUGAUCGUCAUGGAAAAAAAUACUACUGCGUACAGCUUCACGUUUCACUUGGAGUUGCUUCUAAGUCUUGGCUUUGCGCUCCCUUCUAGAUUAUCAGCGAUGUUUUGGUGAAGCAAUAUAGGUGAAAAGAUCAUUGCAAGCUUCUGAUGGUAGCGACACGAUUUGCAGUCAGGGGCUUUCAAAAGAAGAGGAGCCAGGCAUGCGCACAACUCAUCCCUCGCAUUUGGUGGAAAUCGUCAUCUGCUCGUUUUGUAUCGAGAACUUGCUAGCUACUCGAAGCUACAUUGUCUGCACAUCUUUAGUUUUUUGCCAAGCUUCUACUGGCAUUUCCAAUUCUGAAGGAGUCAACGCUACAACCAGAACAUGGUUUCCGCGUGUUCAUCAAGGCCUUUUACACACUGUUUUUGCGCUUUCCCUGUAUUUUGCAACGUGUGUUGAAGAACACACCUCUCCAGAACGUAGACUUCCGUUCUAGUCCAUCAGUGUCAGACAUUCAGAUACUGCACAAUGGAAUAGGACAUGCAGUGGGUCAAACAUUCAGCUUUCUAACUACACAUCCUUCAGAAGAUCUGUUUUCUUUUCUUUUCUGUAUUCUCUCAUAAUUCUAUUUAUAUUCACUCUGGAAACCUUAGGAACCCGAUUCCGCGCAUGGUAUAUCCACACAGUCCCUAGAUUUACUUGCAUGCUGUUCGACCCUCUGGACAGAUGAGAUGGGUUCAUGUCCAGCUUCCACCCAACUAUGAACUCAAGUCCAACACAUAUGGUAUCAAACUAUGUCCAGGAGUAGCAAUAAAACAUUAUAAUUAUAAUUAUAAUAGAAUUGAAACAAA
Physcomitrium patens is the source of this 3304-nucleotide non-coding RNA. The record is from RefSeq and is a predicted model, not a curated record. NCBI's taxonomy places the organism in Eukaryota, Viridiplantae, Streptophyta, Bryopsida, Funariales, Funariaceae.